RNAcentral lists this unclassified non-coding RNA (203 nucleotides) under soil metagenome. RNAcentral's name for it is "partial contains 5.8S ribosomal RNA, internal transcribed spacer 2, and large subunit ribosomal RNA". The record is from RNAcentral.
AACCAUAGAAACCUGCGGAGUACCUGCGGAGGGAUCAUUACCGAGUGCGGGUCCUCGUGGCCCAACCUCCCACCCGUGACUAUUGUACCUUGUUGCUUCGGCGGGCCCGUGCCCGCCGGAGACCCCAACAUGAACCCUGUUCUGAAAGCUUGCAGUCUGAGUGUGAUUCUUUGCAAUCAGUUAAAACUUUCAGCAACGGAUCU